CGUGUAUAUUUUGGGUCCGUGUAUAUUUUGGCAAUUGGAUUUUCCUUUCUGAAAUGGAGUGAAAGUAGCAGUUCCUCCUGAAGGUCAGAGAUUGCAGCAUCUGAGGGCCUCUUCAAAAGAAGAUGUAGUUGAUGAAGACGUUCUGGAGCAGGACCAGAAAGACCACGACCAAGCAGCCUUGAGAUCUUAGACAGCGUCUCCCUCAGACCAAAGAACUACAGACUCUUCACAACCUGCUCAAACUCUUGGUACAGGACCUCACCACACGGAUCAAGAAGGUUUCUGUCUCAUUUCUACUCUGAAGCUCACCUUCUCCUGCUCAAACUGCUGACAAAUGUUUCUGCUGCUCUAAAGUCUGGCCUCCAGAACUUCCUAAAAACUCUCAAAGUCUCUUCUGCUGUAAGUUGCUUUGUAGAACUGUUCCAGAAAACCUCACUAAACCACAUGGAGGAGCCUCAAGAUAGUCGUCCAAAUGAAACCAUACAAAAACCAAACUAGCACAACCCAAACGCUAAAGUCUCCUGCAGCCUACCAGAGAACCUCUGAGAACAGAGAAUCAGGACAGGAACUCUUACCUUCUGGACAACCAACGUGGGUUCUCAAACAAGAAUACAGAAUGUGUCUGACCAAAAACCUCUAAAGACUCACUACAGCCAAGAUAAAGACACAACUCACCUGCACCAAAUCCACUAAUCACUGCACACAUUAGCACCAUGUGCUAACUGUGGCUAAAGAACCACAUUUACCAAGACAACUAUCCAGUACAAAGCCCUAAAACACACCAAGAAACACAUUAAACAUGAUUUUACUGCUGGAAGCUGCAAGCCAACGCCUAAAGAACAAACUACAGCAACAGAACCAAACCCGGUUCACUGGUGAAGAGAAACAGAGGAAAUGUUUGUCUGCAGCUAAAUAAAGCAGGAAGACACUGAGCUGCUCAGGUGUUCCUGAUAACACCAAGCAGCCACCUGGACAGCCAAUAGGAACACAGCUUCCUGGAAGUCCAGAGGGCUGGUUUAGUCAAGGAAAUUUAAAGUUGAGGCAGAAAGUUAACAAAGAAAGUUGAAAACCACCUUCUGAUCCCUGAAAUCUCUGAGUUUUCACACAGAGAACACCUGAACAUGUCAAACUGGUUCCAUAGUAGAACCAUCAUUGUAAAAACAUCAUAGUAUGGUGUGUUGCUCAAAAAACAUUAGGACCCGGCUGUCUAGGGUUGCAGAGGAGCAACACAAAAACAGGACAAACGCUGGUUUCCAGGGGGUUAGGAGGCUAUUUAUUUGAAAGAGUAAGUUUACAACAACACAACAUGUGAGCAGAAAAAUCACAAAGUCUGUCUUUAGUUCAGCUGAAAAUAUUAGUUUUUGUCUUUUUUCUUUUCUUUUCUUACAGUUACAGAAAUGGUUUGAUUGCAGUGAUUGCCUCAAAAGGUUGUGCAAUAAAAUAUUAAGUUAAGGGUACCAUCAUUUUUGUCCAGG
Molecule: long non-coding RNA, 1475 nt
Organism: Amphiprion ocellaris (clown anemonefish)
Lineage: Eukaryota; Metazoa; Chordata; Actinopteri; Pomacentridae
Source: Ensembl